RNAcentral lists this long non-coding RNA (333 nucleotides) under Phoenix dactylifera (date palm). RNAcentral describes it as "long non-coding RNA (PDAC_LNC018997)". Lineage: Eukaryota; Viridiplantae; Streptophyta; Magnoliopsida; Arecales; Arecaceae. The record is from RNAcentral.
UAAAUCAAUCAAUUCAUAUACAUCAGAUAUACAGCCUCUUGAUUGCAUUAUCAUCAUAUUUUGGUGAAUGGAAUCCAUCAUAGCAUCAAUCCGACCUUUGGAUCAUUUCAUAAAAUAUAUAAUUUUUGCAUUGAAGUUCCUAAAGAAAUUUUAGUAAUUCAUAGAUAUAUGGAGAAUCCCAAAUAGAAAAAGAAGGGGAACAGAAAACCUCGCACUACUGUAUCUUUUAACAAAUCUCUGCAAGAAAAUGGUCUGUGCAAUACUUCGAGUGAUCAAUCAUGUCAACCAGUGUUUCUCAUCCCUGCUGCAAUGCCAUUGAUCGUGAUGAGCAAU